Molecule: long non-coding RNA, 667 nt
Filed under: Cyclopterus lumpus (lumpfish)
Lineage: Eukaryota; Metazoa; Chordata; Actinopteri; Perciformes; Cyclopteridae
Description: lncRNA (ENSCLMG00005006728.1)
Source: RNAcentral
GAGGGAACCGGUUCCUCAUGGUCUACCAUUCAUGCUCAGAUAUUCAUAUCAAUAGAGCUGCGAGAACGAAGAGGAGCAGAGUGACCGACGGCUGAUCGCUACAUCGAUACAUCGCUACAUCGAUACAUCGAUACAUCGAUACAUCGAUACAUCGAUACAUCGCUACAUCGAUACAUCGAUACAUCGGUUGAUCGGUUGAUCGGUUGAUCGGACCAUGUGGAUCUGGAGAAGCCUCCUGUGUGUGUCUCUGGUCUGUGGUCUGGGUCUGGGUCUGGGUCUGGACCGCAACACCAUCCGGUCCUCCAAAGAGACGACGGAGCAGAGUCCCGGGCUGCCGGAUCGUGUCCAUGGCGACAAGGUGGAGCGUCCCGUACGGCGCCGGACGGAGACGACGAGACGAUGUUCUACACCGGACUGUUACCUAGCAACGGUGGGAGGCUGCAGCAACCGAGCUCAGAGGAGACCGUCCUCACGGCACAGACAGGUGGACAGACAGGUGGACAGACAGGUGGACAGACAGGUGGACAUGGAGACAGACACACAGAUCAACAGAGACAUCUUCAACAGGACCAAAGGUGAGUGAUUGGAAGACAACUACAAAUCCCAGAGUGCAUUGCUGGUUUUGUUUUUAGAAGUACACAAUAGUGUACUUUGUACUACAUCUCAG